UGCCAGAAGUCCCCAGGCAGGAGUGUGGUGGGACAUCCGGCUGGGUCUGGAUGAAGUGCUUCAUGCCUGUAAUCCAAGCACUUUGAGAGGCUGAGGCGGGCAGAUGGCUUGAGCCCAGGAGUUUGAGACCAGCCUGGAAAACAUAGAGAAACCCCGUCUCAAUAUAAGAAGAAGAAGAAAAAGAAAAAAAAAAAAUCAAAAACGAAAACAACACAAAUUUUAGAGUAAGUAUUUUAAGUUCCACAAAAACCUGGUUAGGAUUUGGAUAGCAAUUUCUUUAGUUCUACAAAUCAAUUUGGAAAAAAUUAAUUAAUUUGGGAAGAAUUCAUUUUGAGUCUUCUAAUCCAUGAACAUGGUAUCUCCAUUUGUUUAGACCAUCUUUAAUGCC
This 388-nucleotide long non-coding RNA is filed under the name Homo sapiens (human). RNAcentral's name for it is "HSALNT0317880". Lineage: Eukaryota; Metazoa; Chordata; Mammalia; Primates; Hominidae. The record is from RNAcentral.